Molecule: ribosomal RNA, 518 nt
Filed under: uncultured Glomus
Lineage: Eukaryota; Fungi; Glomeromycota; Glomeromycetes; Glomerales; Glomeraceae
Description: SSU rRNA
Rfam family: Eukaryotic small subunit ribosomal RNA
Source: RNAcentral
AGCAGCCGCGGUAAUUCCAGCUCCAAUAGCGUAUAUUAAAGUUGUUGCAGUUAAAAAGCUCGUAGUUGAAUUUCGGGACCAGUAUGUUGGUCGUGCUUCGGUACGUACUGUCAUUACUGGUUUCUCCCUUCUGAAGAACCUUGAUGUCAUUAAUUUGGUGUCUUGGGGAAUCAGGACUGUUACUUUGAAAAAAUUAGAGUGUUUAAAGCAGGCAUACGCUUGAAUACAUUAGCAUGGAAUAAUGAAAUAGGACGUUUGAUUCUAUUUUGUUGGUUUCUAGGAUCGACGUAAUGAUUAAUAGGGAUAGUUGGGGGCAUUAGUAUUCAAUUGUCAGAGGUGAAAUUCUUGGACUUAUUGAAGACUAACUACUGCGAAAGCAUUUGCCAAGGAUGUUUUUCAUUAAUCAAGAACGAAAGUUAGGGGAUCGAAGACGAUCAGAUACCGUCGUAGUCUUAACCAUAAACUAUAGCCGACUAGGGAUCGGAUGAUGUUAAUUUUUUAAUGACUCAUUCGGCGCC